RNAcentral lists this unclassified non-coding RNA (237 nucleotides) under uncultured fungus. Its description in RNAcentral is "partial contains 18S rRNA, ITS1, 5.8S rRNA, ITS2 and 28S rRNA". Lineage: Eukaryota; Fungi. The record is from RNAcentral.
AAGGAUCAUUAGUAUAGGAUCACUGCUUUUGAGCGGUGAUUAAUUUUAAACUCAUCUGUGUAUCUUACCUGUUGCUUCCGUACUGCGUGGACAUUUGGUCCCCUUGUACCGUACCUCAGUACGGUUCUGAGUGUUGGUACGGGAGGUAUACACCAAACUCUUGCAUUUCAUGUCAUCGGUCUGAACUGUUUAUAAAAAAACAAGUUAAAACUUUCAACAACGGAUCUCUUGGUUCUC